Molecule: ribosomal RNA, 212 nt
Filed under: uncultured bacterium
Lineage: Bacteria
Description: partial 16S ribosomal RNA
Rfam family: Bacterial small subunit ribosomal RNA
Source: RNAcentral
UACGUAGGGUGCAAGCGUUGUCCGGAAUUAUUGGGCGUAAAGAGCUCGUAGGCGGUUUGUUGCGUCGGCUGUGAAAUCCCGAGGCUCAACCUCGGGUCUGCAGUCGAUACGAGCAAACUAGAGUGUUGCAGGGGAGACUGGAAUUCCUGGUGUAGCGGUGAAAUGCGCAGAUAUCAGGAGGAACACCCGGUGGCGAAGGGCGGGGUCUCUGG